Molecule: long non-coding RNA, 418 nt
Organism: Vidua chalybeata
Lineage: Eukaryota; Metazoa; Chordata; Aves; Passeriformes; Viduidae
Exons: 2
Source: RefSeq, a predicted model, not a curated record
GUUCCCAUGGCGACCGGGGGCGCGCGGGAGCCGCGCGAGGGCCGGACGGAGCCGGCGGGAGAGCGGCGGGUUCCGGACGGCCUGGGGAGGCUGCGGGAGCUGCUGGAGCUCCGGCAGCGGCAGCUGCGGUCCCGCAUCGCCGCCUGCGAGGAGCUGAGGGCGGAGAUGGCCGCGCUGCGGGCGGCGCAGAGCUCUGGCCCGGCGGGCGGCGCGGGGCCCUGAGGAGCCCCGGGGACGGCGGCGGGAGCGGGGAUCGGCCCCGCGGAAGGGACCGAGGGGUUUGGGGCUCCGGGAACGCCCCGGCGAGCGCAGGGAGCGCUGACGGCCGCACUGCCGGGCUCCCCCGCCGUGGCCUUGGAGCUCACUCGGUGUCGCCGCGCUCGUACCUUAUCGCAUUAAAUUUACACUUCAAAAUAAA